UGGGGAAUAUUGCACAAUGGGCGAAAGCCUGAUGCAGCAACGCCGCGUGAGGGAAGACGGUCUUCGGAUUGUAAACCUCUGUCUUUAGUGAAGAAGACAGUGACGGUAGCUAAAGAGGAAGCCACGGCUAACUACGUGCCAGCAGCCGCGGUAAUACGUAGGUGGCAAGCGUUAUCCGGAAUUACUGGGUGUAAAGGGAGCGCAGGCGGGACUGCAAGUUGGAUGUGAAAUACCGCAGCUCAACUGCGGAGCUGCAUCCAAAACUGUAGUUCUUGAGUGAAGUAGAGGUAGGCGGAAUUCCGAGUGUAGCGGUGAAAUGCGUAGAUAUUCGGAGGAACACCGGUGGCGAAGGCGGCCUACUGGGCUUUUACUGACGCUGAGGCUCGAAAGUGUGGGGAGCAAACAGGAUUAGAUACC
Molecule: ribosomal RNA, 417 nt
Filed under: uncultured bacterium
Lineage: Bacteria
Description: bacterial SSU rRNA
Rfam family: Bacterial small subunit ribosomal RNA
Source: RNAcentral